Molecule: ribosomal RNA, 402 nt
Filed under: uncultured bacterium
Lineage: Bacteria
Description: bacterial SSU rRNA
Rfam family: Bacterial small subunit ribosomal RNA
Source: RNAcentral
UGGGGAAUCUUGCGCAAUGGGCGAAAGCCUGACGCAGCCAUGCCGCGUGAAUGAUGAAGGCCCUAGGGUUGUAAAGCUCUUUCACCGGUGAAGAUAAUGACGGUAACCGGAGAAGAAGCCCCGGCUAACUUCGUGCCAGCAGCCGCGGUAAUACGAAGGGGGCUAGCGUUGUUCGGAAUUACUGGGCGUAAAGCGCACGUAGGCGGGUAUUUAAGUCAGGGGUGAAAUCCCGGAGCUCAACUCCGGAACUGCCUUUGAUACUGGGUACCUAGAGUAUGGAAGAGGUGAGUGAAAUUCCGAGUGUAGAGGUGAAGUUCGUAGAUAUUCGGAGGAACACCAGUGGCGAGGGCGGCUCACGGGUCCAUUACUGACGCUGAGGUGCGAGAGCGUGGGGAGCAAACA